GUCGAGAAUCUUUCGCAAUGGGCGAAAGCCUGACGAAGCGACGCUGUGUGGACGAUGAAGGCCUUCGGGUUGUAAAGUCCUUUCGCGCAAGAACAAGAGAGAGUAACUAAUACCUACUCGAUUUGAGGGUACUGCGUAAAGAAGCACCGGCUAACUCCGUGCCAGCAGCUGCGGUAAUACGGAGGGUGCAAGCAUUAAUCGGAUUUACUGGGCGUAAAGGGCGCGUAGGCGGGCAAGCAAGUCUCAUGUGAAAUUCCGGAGCUCAACUCCGGAGCUGCAUGGGAAACUGCAUGUCUAUAGAGGGAUGGCGGAGAAAAUGGAAUUCCACGUGUAGCGGUGAAAUGCGUAGAUAUGUGGAAGAACACCAGUGGCGAAAGCGGUUUUCUAGCUAUUACCUGACGCUGAGGCGCGAGAGCAUGGGGAGCAAACAGGAUUAGAUACCCGUGUAGUCC
RNAcentral lists this ribosomal RNA (452 nucleotides) under uncultured bacterium. RNAcentral's name for it is "bacterial SSU rRNA". It matches the Rfam family "Bacterial small subunit ribosomal RNA", at positions 354 to 796 of the family's 1533-position model. The record is from RNAcentral.